Molecule: ribosomal RNA, 372 nt
Filed under: uncultured organism
Description: bacterial SSU rRNA
Rfam family: Bacterial small subunit ribosomal RNA
Source: RNAcentral
CGUAGGGUGCGUAGCGUUAAUCGGAAUUACUGGGCGUAAAGCGUGCGCAGGCGGUUUUGUAAGACAGAUGUCGAAAUCCCCGGGCUCAACCUGGGACCUGCAUUUGUGACUGCAAGGCUAGAGUACGGUAGAGGGGGAUGGAAUUCCGCGUGUAGCAGUGAAAUGCGUAGAUAUGCGGAGGAACACCGAUGGCGAAGGCAAUCCCCUGGACCUGUACUGACGCUCAUGCACGAAAGCGUGGGGAGCAAACAGGAUUAGAUACCCUGGUAGUCCACGCCCUAAACGAUGUCAACUGGUUGUUGGGUCUUUACUGACUCAGUAACGAAGCUAACGCGUGAAGUUGACCGCCUGGGGAGUACGGCCGCAAGGUUG